Molecule: non-coding RNA, 136 nt
Organism: Triticum aestivum (bread wheat)
Lineage: Eukaryota; Viridiplantae; Streptophyta; Magnoliopsida; Poales; Poaceae
Source: Rfam
UGUGUACUCCCUCCAUUCCAAAAUACUUGACUUCCAUUUGUCCAAAAAUGGAUGUACCUAUAUACUAAAACAUGUCUAGAUACAUAUAUAUUUUGACAUAUAGAAGGCAUGUAUUGUGCAAUGGAGGGAGUAGAAU